Long non-coding RNA from Cloeon dipterum, 274 nucleotides. RefSeq lists it as uncharacterized. The record is from RefSeq and is a predicted model, not a curated record. The transcript is spliced from 3 exons. Lineage: Eukaryota; Metazoa; Arthropoda; Insecta; Ephemeroptera; Baetidae.
GCAAAUGAAGGUAUAAAUUUAACAAAUAAAUAAAUAUUUUAUGAAUAAAUUUUAAUAUGAUUGAAAUAAAAUCUUGUUUUGUAUAGGGCCUCUUCUUGGAACCAACAACUGCAACGAAAAUCUCAAUUUUAUCUGUGAAGGAAGAUUACGUUCUAAGGAUAAUAAUAUAUUAACCUCAAUUAUCAAAGAAUGCACGGGAGUGAACAAAUUGAGCCAAAGAGAAAUUAAUAUGUUUACGAGAGAGCAGUUCAACAGAUUUUCAUACAAAAUGAAA